CGUUCCGCCAGGACUUGUUUCAUUGCGUUGGUGUGUCCAACUUGUAUGACCGGCCAGUUGCAGCCAUCGCAUUUAUGGCCUUCUUGUCUUGUCAUUUUUAGCUCUAUUAUCGUGGGAUCUAGGUGUUUGAACGUGUCUUACAUUACAAAAUCAGGUUUAGAACGUUUUACAAUGACUCCUGAGGGUGUUGAACUGUGGAAUACACUACAAAACCAGGUGUCGGUUAGUGUCGCACUGUUCACCGUCAGGUCUCCCACCUGGCCAGUCGAGAACGUUAAAAGGUGUUUCCGGGGACGGCAAAGGAACUAAGUCGUUACAAUGUCUCGAGUACUGGUUCUAGCGAUGCUGCGGUUGAUGUGAGAUGAGUUGUUGUCCAAACGUACGUUUACGCUACGUAAACUAGCUAGACCAAUCGAUGGACCCAAGAGCCUCUCGUACUCCAACCACUCCUCGAACGCGGACUAGACGACGCGGAGCAAGUGGAGCGCCUCCUUCUAACGCAAGAGAACCUGCGGGAACUGCAACUUCCACUCGCCGAGCCGCGGCGACCGCUAGUGUUCGAACAGCAUCCGGUGGGACUUCGCCAUCCCCAACCACCCGUCGACGAGCGGCGGCCGGCGGUGGCACGUCAUGUGGAGCACGAAGGCGCACAGCUACGGCCACGUCAACCGCUCCUUCUUCAUACUAGGCCCCGCCCACCGCUCGCGGCCGACCUACGCCGACUGCCCGAGGUGGUGCCUGGCCUUGAGGUCGCACGGCUGCAGCUGCGUUCGUCGGAGCGUCCCCGGCGCCCCUCGUCGGAGUGUCCCCAGCGCGACUACGGAGACGAGCCCGGCAUCUCUACCGGGCGGCGCGGGCGCGGCGUGAACAGCCGCUCCGGCUGCGUGCGCUCCGACACCUUGCUGCUGCGCCGCACCGCCGAGGCGAUGCAACGUGGCUAUGCCGCUAUGCUAGUGCGGGAGGUCGAGGGCCGUUGGGAGGUUGGGGGGUUGGUUGGCUGGAGAGCUAGCUAGCAUCGUCGAAGAGGAAAAAGCUACCGCCACCUAGACUGGGGCUCCGUCGGCCGGUUCCGGAUGCCGCCGCGGAUGAUGCUCACCUCGGGGCGGCUCGACGGGUACGAGCCGCAGCGGAGGUAGCCGCGGCGGUUCGAGAGCGAGCGGCGGCCGCCGUACAGCGAAGGGUCGAUGAGGCUGAGGCGGUUCCAGCGGAUGCAGGAAGUCCUAUACGUAUGGUGGCUAGGUAGCUAGGGGAGAGCGUCUGAGGGUGGGGGGGAGGGUCGCGCUAGCGACAGACCAGACACGCCCUGGGCUUAAGACGAAGCCAGCAUCUGCCAGCGCCCAACUAGCUUAGACAAACAAAGUCAUAGAUCAAGUCUAGCUUUCGUCGUCGGCUAACCUUAACCUGUCUCAGAGUCCAGAAGAUUUAAUAUACAGACAGAUGAUGUGCCACACCAGUCAAGACUUUAGCACGAUCAACAAGUCAGAGCAGUCAAGUCAAAUUGUUUUUGCUUGUCAUAACGCUACGAAAUGACUUAACAACUACCAGCGUAUACUUAGAUCGAACAACCAAAGUCUGACUUAAAAAACACCAUCGCCCAAUUAGACAUUGAAUCUAGCUAACGAAGACAUUUAACCAAAGUCUAUCCGCGUUCGAGGAGUGGUUGGAGUACGAGAGGCUCUUGGGUCCAUCGAUUGGUCUAGCUGGUUUACGUAGCGUAAGUGUACGUUUGGACAACAACUCGUCUCACAUCAACCGCAGCAUCGCUAGAACCAGUACUCGAGACAUUGUAACGACUUAGCUCCUUUGCCGUCCCCGGAAACACGUUUUAACGUUCUCGACUGGCCAGGUGGGAGAUCUGACGGUGAACAGUACAACAUUAACCGACACCUGGUUUUGUAGUGUAUCCCACAGUUUAACACCCUCAGGAGUCAUUGUAAAACGUUCAAAACUUGAUUUUGUAGUGUAAGACACGUUCAAACACCUAGACCCCACGAUAAUGGAGCAUUUUUAGGUACUUAGGCCCCCUUACCCUUUCGUUGAGACAGACGAGACCAAAUGGUAGGUAGUAGUAUGUUCACUUACGUACAAGUCCAACUUCUGUUAGUAGGUCCGGUCUAAUUUUUCCCGAUUAUGAGUAGGUAGUAGGAUAUAUUAGUAGACAGUAAGUCGCCAAAGAGUAACUGACCUUGACGUAUGGUCGGAGGUACUUGGUCUACCCACGACGACGAAGUGCGAAAGAACGAUGCAGCGACAGACGCGCUCGGACACCUGAACCGAUCGAGUUCCUCUUUGAUUUCCAAAGGGGGCCGUCGUCCUCUCGGUGACCGCGCGUGUAGCAGCAAGUAGUGGUCGAUCGCUUCGUUUGUUCCUCGAGUCUUUCUCCGCCGGCGCCGGCCGGCCGGUAGGCCAGCGACAGGCUGUCGAGGAUCUGUCGCCGCAGCUGGCGCGGGCCGGCCGCGGCUCGAUCGAUCGGGUUGCUGUUGGACGGGUACUCCGUUGGUACGAGAAGGAGAAGUGUUUCAUGAAUAGGUCCCCGUCGUUCUUGCGCCGUCGGCCGCUGCUGCUGUCCUCCGUCUCCGUCUUCGUCUUCGUCGCGCUCUACGGCCGCCGCAGCCGUAGCUUACCCCGACGCCUGGCGCUCGUGCCCACGUACGGGCCGACGCACGGCCACGCGCGGUUCGCCUGCCGGUGCCAAUGCUGGCAGUGCUGGUGCAGCCGCUCCUGCAGCGCCGUGUUGAAGCAGUCCAGUCGCCGCAGCCCCGACAAGGGGCCCCGCGGCCACAAGUGGUUGGUGCUCAGGGAGGGCGGCGAGGGACUCCGGAUGAGCCUCAAGCGGAGGCGCAAGGGCGUCAUGCCGCCCGAUCGGCCGAGCCGCCUGCGCUAGUCCCUGCCCCUCAUGUCCGUGGAGCUGGCGGUGCAGACGGACCUGAUGUUGCCCUACUUGGAGAAGAGGGUGCGCGUCUACUUGAGCAGCGACGGCAGGUGCAGUCGAGGCCGCCUCGGCAGCCGCACCGUCGGGGGGAAGAAGCUGUAGCGCAUGUCCAGCCGCUCGGACGCCAGCGUCCACGUCGUUACGCCCCUGCCGUGACGGCGGCGUAGGCGCCGCCCCCCGUAGUCGCCGCGGCAGUGCUCCGCGUAGUACCGCAGGGAAUUCUAGGGGCUCCUGCUCAUGUGGUACCACACGUGCCGCUUGGCCUGGUGCCGGAAGGCCGACGACCGUCUUAGGAUGAGGAAGUGAGGGCCGCCGCCGUCCUUCUUCGACGAGAGGCACAUGCUGAUGCUCUCGCUCCGCCACCCACGGUACCGAGUCUCGCGCGCGUCGGCGCCGCGCCUCCAGUACUUGCGCUCGAAGCGCACCGGCUCGUACGCGCAGGUGCGGCGCCUGGAGGCGUUUUUCGACGAGGCACCCGCCGCCGCCGUCGCGCCGGCGCCCGAGAAGCACAAAGGCGACCACAGGGCGUACUGGCCGCGCUCCAUGGGCAUGGAGACCUACUCGCGGCGCCGCCUCGUCCCCACCGUGCACCGCGACCUGCGCACGCGCGAGCCGCGGUUCCUGGAGCUGUGGGAGCCGGAGAGGGAGGAGGCGGGCCUGAAGUAGCAGACGUUGAAGAAGUUCCACAAGCCGCUCUUGGGGAGCCCGAAGCGGCCCGACAAGCAGUUCUUCCGGUCGGAGCCGCGCGAGCUCGCGAGGCGCCAGCGCGCGUCGUAGCCGUAGCAGUCGUAGCAAGGCCGCGCCGCCACCAGCGAGGCGCUGCUGAUGAGGUGGCUGGACCUCGUGAGCGAGUGGAAGGGGUUUCACCGGCUGGGCGGCUGCCGCCUGCUACAGCUAUGGUGGUCGAGUAAAAGGCCGGGCGAGUCGCGGUGGCGGUGGCCAGCGUGCUGGCUGCUCCGGCUCUUGCCGCUGUGCGGCCUUUAAACGCUCCACCUGGCAUCCGGUAGGCUUCGGCUUCUUCCGUCAGCCGGUACCGGCGGCGGUCGUCGUCAUCUUCGUCUCCUCCUCGCGUACGACCUCCACCUCACGUCCCCCGACCUGGUGCGCCUGCGCGACCCGGAGUAGCGGUAGCCGUUGGCCGACGCCACGUAGUCGUUGACCGACCACCACCGCUACGUCUUCGACGCCGUGGGCGUGGGCCUCGUGCCGCCGCCCUUCGUCGACCACGCCCACAUGCCUGGCGCGCAGUUCAAGCUCGCCCCUGGGAGCGACCGCAAGUUGCACAUGCUGACCUUCCCCCUCUUCCACCGCGGCCGCGACCACGUCUUCGAACGGCUGGCCGUCCGGUAGAGCGAGUGGACGCCGAAGGACGCCUUGUAGACCAAGCGGCUGUUCAUGCUCCGGCUGUCCUCGCGGCAGGAACUCGUCCGUUCGCUGCCGCUGCCGCCGCCGCUCCACCCCUAGGUGCACCACUUACGCAGCGACCCCAAGAACUCGUUGAAGCUCCUGCGCAUGUUCGACACCCGCAAGCACCGGUUCAAGAACCUGCGGCUGAAGCACCUCUUCCUCUCCACCUCCAUGUGCCGCGAGUUGGUCUUCUGGCAGCUUCAAAUCCAGCGGUGGCGGUACAAGCAGCGACCGGCCGGGCCAUAAUCAAGACCAGUGACGCAGUAAACGAGUGCUGCGGUAAAAACACCCUAGUCGAGCUGGCCUGACUGUCCCUUUCUCGAUGAGAGAAACAGUCUCUCUCAACAUCGCGAAGACGAAGACACACUUGACAAUUUUACAUCUGAGAAAGCACCCACCCACCUCCCAAGCAAGAAGACAUCACGUAAACCUUUAUGUCCGUUGGUAACCAUUCCCUUUCCUAUCGAGUCCGCGAGAUAGACGGGCUAGUGGUAUUCAGGUAUUGUUGGCAGGUAUAUUGCUAAAUCGGCUGUUUCAACAAAAUUGGUCAAGGGAUUUGCGUAGUUCCCUGCUAUGAGACGGUAGAUAGCUCGCCUGAAAAGACCUGACCGCUAUACGACAUAGAGUCGAAGGAAGGAGACAAGAAGGGAUUAAGGAGGGGAUUAGGAAAUAGAGGAGACAGGGUAGAGGAAAGAGAAAGGGUUAGGUAGUCGGUACACCAACCAGGGAGACCUAGACGGAACAGGCCACUGCUAGGGGACGAGGAGAGGGCGACGGGACAAGAAGGAGAAGGAACGGGCAAGGGACGGAUAGAGUUGGGCUAACCUAGGUAGGGUAGAGGAAAGAACUCAGCUAAGGAGCGAAGAGGUUCGACCUAGACCGUCGACGGAAAGUCUAGGUUGAUGACCUCGGUAGGAGUACAAAGACGCGGCGGCGACAAAGGUAAACCGACUACGGGUUCGGAGUUAGGUUGCUCGGAGAACGAGACGACGUCAUCGUGGCGGUGGCAGCAGAGAGGCCAGGUCCCGCGAAUCAGGGUCUAAUCGACUCGGCAACUAAUUCUAGUCAUGGAGUUGAUAACGACGUGGUAUCAAAAGUUGGACGGUGCCGGCGUAGUAUGACGAUAAACAAACUCUCUAACCCACGGUACUUUCGGUAACGAACCUUAACGGCUCCAUACCCAGCCUUGGAACCGUUACUAGCAUACCAGAAAGACCGGUUGAACUAAGCAAGGUGAUUUCGCGUCUCCACGAAGUCCUCCCGAGACCGAGUACACCUUACUACUCGAGUUUCAAAGACAAAUAUCACGAAGGAAAGUGACACAAGAUCGAUUACAUCAAGUGGAUCAGAGUCCUCAAGUUAAAACAAACUAGACAUAUAUACCACUGGGGAUAGUAUCCGUCUAAUGACGGUAAACCUCAGUUCAAAGUAGAAAACAAAUACUAGUAGACCCAUACGGGUACUACACAUACCCACUAGAAUUGCUGUAGAACAUACUAUGCCUACCCGUAUUACCGUUACAAUUAAUGAUAGCAUACUGAUGAAAAGCAAGCGAACAAUUUUUAACACCAAAGAAACUAUAUCCGAAAUCACCAGGACGCAUAUGAACCGCAUCAUUCGUCGUGUGAGGAAUAGGGUAAAUGUCCGCGGAACUAGCAACGAACCAAUUAAGACUUACCACAUACGUAAUAGGAUUAUGGUUCCAAGAAUUAAACGGAUAAUAGGAGUCACUAGUACGAGGGUAAAAUCAUAGAUGACUACCGUUAAAACAAUCCGGGUUCGUUUGCAAAUUUAAACUUUUGACCACCAACUACCUCUUCCUGAAGUAACUAAAACGAUUUAGACGAACCUUGUUAACAAGUGAAUGAAGAAAACGUCGGUUUUGGAGAAGAAACCGUCCGAGAAAUUUCUACACCACGUCCUUUUUUUUUCGGAGAGGUCGUGCUAGAAAGCCUUGAACUUCGCUUGUAAUUAGUUGAAGUCGUUGUGGGUGACGUCGUCGUCCUAGUACGAAAUCUUUCGAGAGAUUGAGAGUCCAUACUUGUUUGCGAGAGGUUCGAAUUAGUUAAAAUAUUCAUCGCUUCAUUCUUUCCAACCCAACACCGACCCCUGGCAUUAUGAUUUAAGAAAGUAGUCAGCCAUCAAUUCGCCUCUUUCUCUUUAUGAUAAACGAGACAAUUUCUACUCUUACUACACGAAGUAAAGUUUGGAAGACGAUAAUGCUUGUGUAAACAGUUAAUGAAAGCAAUGUAGAAGAGAAGAGGCUUACUAUUGAGACUAUCUGGAAUAGAAUGGUGAGUUACCGGAUUACUAAGAAGCCUAGGAUGGAUACGAUAAGGACUAUUUGUACUUCAAAACGUCUAAGAGUUUCUGUACUUCAAUUUACGGAGAGGCCCUGGUCUACCAAAAUUACAACUUAAGAUAAACCGACGAACCCUAACCUAUCCUCUCCUCCAAUGCGUUGAACACCGGUUGAAAAUGUAGUGGCUAUAAAACGGAGGAGUAUAAUUACUGUGUUCAUAACGAGAAUAGGGGUUUUUCGAACAGGGAGUUCAAGGAUACCUGAUAGCAGGAUAAUCAGAAACAUUACAACAAAUAUUUUAGUAAUGCUUUAGCGAACGAUUAUCCUAAUUCGGAGUAGAAGGACUAAUGUAUCUAGGGCGAGUCGUUCGAAAGUAACUCCCAUCUUCCUAAUCACUGUUAUAAUAAUAACGAGUUCUCUAAUGAGUGAGGAAGAGAGAUUUUAGAACCUUUGUGUUACGAAAGUACGAAUUUUAACUAGAACGAUUUCGAAAACUAGCAAAUCUUACCUUAAAAUAACGAAGACGAGAACGUGCUUUUCCCAACGUACGAGUAAAGUAAUUAAACCAAAUACGAACAUAUAGAAGAGGGUGCAAAAGAUACAACUAGUUACCGGUCGGGAGCGUGUUCAAAUUUUCAAAAGCUCCAUAAACAGUUCCAACAGGAUACAGGGGCAUAAACAAACAUUAACGAUAUUUACUUAAUAGAUAACGAGAAUUGCUUCGCGAACAACGAGUAGUGGAAGUACCUUAAAGAGAACCAGGUUUAACGGGGAGAUAGGUGAGAGAGAAUAAACGACUACUGAACAACCAAACACCCGUCCGAUGAGAGGUUCUCCGAGUACGAUACCGGUUAGACUAAGUCGUGAAAACAAGAUAGAGUCCGGUUUGCGAUUGAUCCGGUUUAGACGGUAAGAAAAAUCGAGAGUACAGGGAUUAUGAUGAUACGUCCUCUAAUUCGUUUAGAAAGAUCAAAGAUUAAACCUAUCAUUAAAGUGGGUGGAACCAGUAGGCGAACAAGAAGGACGAUUUUUAUCUCAACGACGAAUAUUGAAACAAUAACUGUUUAAAAACUUAUUCGACGGGUGAAUAUUUCGGUUGUACGAAAGAGUACGACGAUCCGAACUUAAUUAAGCAAGCCAAAAGAGCCGAUAAGGACAGAUAAUAUACCGAUUAUAGAACAAAUGAUUCUUUGAGUAACGAUUUGAGUGUCGAUAAUAAUCCUUGAAGACCACCUGUCCACACGCUCUUUUACUAAGAUUCUUCUCAGAAACAGAAUCUCGAACCUUCCUAUAAACGUUAAGAUUUCUACUUCCACCAGACCCGUAUUUCUUAGACUUCCGGUAAUUACUCUCGGAAGAAGACCGACGACACACCUCCAAUCGGUUUGAAGGAAGAAGAGUGAACAUAGAACACGAAUUCAGAUUCAUAAAAGUACUAUGAAGAUAAACCUUUCGAUGACGUUGAGGAGGAUUUAGACGAAAAACCCGAAGAUAAAACUUUUACAAUGGGUUAGAAUUCCGAGUAAGAAAGAUAGUUAAUUGAGUUCCAUCGUAAUGUUAAACCUCGUACGGAACCACACGAGUAACCCUAUGAUAGGUACUAGUAGAGUAAGGUGUCGUUCGACCGAAAUCAAUAGGGAGAAAUCAAUCUCUAGAGACCGAAGGCCCCGUUUUUUGAACCUUAGUCCUGAAACAAAAGAGCGAAAAAGCCGUCGGAUAACGAAGAGAGUAACAAUUUUGACUAUAAUAACUACUACUACCUGGCCUAAACGAAACAACCCUAGAAUGAGGAUUACCGUAAACGAGACGUUUCAGACGAAUGUUCGAAUUAAACGUCGUCUAAAUAUGAUUAGGGUCUUUACACGGACAACGAUAAGGGAACCUAAACUUUUUAGAAGAAUUCAACUAAACCUUUGUUUUUUGAUACGAAGGAUCCCACGUUUGAAAACGGACCUCUAAUGAAUCUUUCCGAAAUGGAUGACCGAACGCACGACCAGCAAAGAGCUAAGUGUAAAGAGUCUAUACAACAGCUACACCAGUCGUCCUCCUACUCAAAGUAGGAAAGAAGGAAACAGUAAAACGAGCACACCGGACCAAAAGGAGAGGAACCAAAGAGUCUAGACUUCAAAAUGAAGUUCCGGUAAGAUGCUACGUAAGUCACGAAUAACGAGAGUAAGUUUACCUGGUGGGUUUACCAAGAUAAGGUUUAUAGGAGUUAAAAGACACCACGGAAACCUUUCGUGCAUUACUAAAAGAAAAACUAUCUUUCUUUCGUGAAGGAAUGGUUCAAUUAUAACGUCGAUAACGAAAUUUAAACCUGAAACUACCACAAGAAAGUACGGAAACAUUAUUCGUUGUCGUCCAAGUUCCACUUGUAAGAUAACCGUUAGUACAAGGAAACGUUCCAUGAUGAGAAUUCAGACUAAACAAUUAACAACCUGGCUUUUAUAAAAGACUACGUCGAAAGUCUAGUUUAUUUCAGGGACCGGAAGGUGUUCCUCUCCAACGGUGUCCACAACCUUAAAAGUAGAGUUAAGGUAGACUGGUUCCUCUUUAGUUACAAGUUCAAGUUCGGAGCCGAAGCAGAUGAAGAUGAGGAAACGUUCGACUUCGGUAACGAGAAUGAAGACGACGAGUAUAACGGAGAGUCGAAUUAUAACGAGUAGGUUAAAAAAAUUGACUGAUAGAAAGAGAACGAUUCACACGACGAGACUCUUUGUGGAACCUAAGGAGAUAAGGAACCUUAUAAUCUUUCCUAGACCGGUAGAAGAAAUUUGUGUGAAGACGAAACGUAGGAUUCCACAAAGUAUAAAGCUCUCUUUAAUUACCCUAACGAGUACUAGAACGCGUUGUCCAAAAAUCUAGAUGACCCUUGUGAGUUCAAACAACAAAACGAGUUUUGGUGAGAAGAUAUAGGACAGUACAACACAGGGAGUAUAGUUUAGAAGUUUAAGGACCACAAUUCAAUGUGUGACAAGUGACGAUAAUCAAGAAACAUAAAACCAAAGUCCGGAGAAAGGAUAAAUGCGACGAUACAACACAAACGAGAAAUUCAAAAAGUCGAUGUCCCCGGAAUUUCGAUAGUACCCAAACCUGAUGAUCUCUACGUUUCUUGGAGAAAACACAAAAACGUCCUAUACUAGUCUUUGAAACCCCUUCAAUGUCCCGCUAAAUCUCCCACGUGUUUUCACUUCUAUCCCCUACUACGACGUAAAUUAGAGAUAGAGCUAGAUUAACGACGAAGUAGAAGAGACAUAGACAGUCUAAUCAUCUCGUACAAGAAAAGAGGAAACUGACGGAACCGUAAAACCAGUACAACAAGUAGUCGCCCCUAAGAACGAGGAAACGACAGAAGUUCCUGAAGAAAAGUCGAGAUCGAAGAGUCUAAGACGACGAGAAAGAAAGGGUAAAGAACCGUCUAGAACAUGG
Molecule: ribosomal RNA, 10070 nt
Filed under: Triticum aestivum (bread wheat)
Lineage: Eukaryota; Viridiplantae; Streptophyta; Magnoliopsida; Poales; Poaceae
Description: partial small subunit ribosomal RNA
Source: RNAcentral